RNAcentral lists this long non-coding RNA (200 nucleotides) under Lathyrus oleraceus (garden pea). RNAcentral describes it as "Pisum sativum (pea) long non-coding RNA (PSAT_LNC036470)". The record is from RNAcentral. Lineage: Eukaryota; Viridiplantae; Streptophyta; Magnoliopsida; Fabales; Fabaceae.
AAUCAUUGAAGUUUGGUGGAUUAAAUUAUUUGUUGAUGUAAUAAGCUAGUACCUUCGUUUUUUAUUAUAAGUCGCUUUGCAAACAUAUUUUGUACCACAAUAUAAGUUGUUUUAUAAUAUCAAUGAAUGAUUAAUGUUAUUUUCCCUAUUAUACCCAUACCUUUUUAUUAUUUUCUCUCCUUUUAAUUAUGUCAAUUUAU